UUUGAUAAUGUUUCCUGAUUUUCCAAGGAAAUCAUUGCUUUCCAACUUCAGACUGGUUUUGCCACAUGAGGAGGUGUAAAGAAUUGGUGUCCUCAUUUAGAUAUGGCCGUACAUUGCACAUGACAUUAAGCAAAGUAGCAGCAUUUCCUGUGACAAAAAAGAAAAGGGAGAAGGAAAUGCAUUCCAAGUGCAACCCCCAAUGGUCUUUCCAUGUGGGAGGGAGGCAGAUUGUCCAGACUUUCCCUGCCUUGGCAGCUCAAAAACCUCAGUCAUAAAAACACUGGCAUAUGUGCUUAUUUGUGUUUUAUUUGAAUACUCUCACUGGAGUAACAGGAAAGAUGAGCAGAAUAUGAAAAGGAAAAAUUGUAAGAGUAAAAUAUAUUCAAAGAGAACUUCCAAGGUGAUGGAUUAAAUAAAGAUCAUGUGAAGAUACAGAAAAUCAUAAUAAAUAACAAUUUUGCCAGAGAGGUGGAUGUCCCAUCCCUGCAAACAUUCAAGGCCAGUUUGGGUGGGUCUGAACAAUCUGAUCUUGUUGAGGAUGGCCCUGCCCGUGGCACAGGGAAGUGAACCAGAUGGCCUUUAAAUGCCCCUUCUAACCCAAACUAUCCUAUGAUUUUAUGAAUAACUGCAAAACCUAGAUUAAACCAUAAACUUAGGCUUUCUUCUAUUCUUCUAUUGCAUUUAUUUAUUUUUUUUUUUUUGUGAUAAGAAAGAAAGAUUAAUUCAAAAAGCUUGAGAUGGAAAAGAAGUGAAAGGAGAUUGGCAACCAAAAGGGAGAGAUUUCUCUUUACACCUUCAAGUUAAGGCAGGACAUAUUGCCUCUUUUUAACUCUUUUUUCUCCCUUUGAGAUGACCCCAAUUCUGCAUUUCUUAUACAAAUUAAAUAAUAAUAAUAAUGAUGAUGAUGAUGAUGAUGAUGAUGAUGAUGAUGAUGAUGAUGAUGAAAAUUCUACCUGGCCUCUGUGAAAAUGAUCCCAAAUCCAGAAAACUGCCAAACCAAGUAAAGAUUUAAAUGUAUUUUCAGGCCCCUAUCUGCAGCAUGAUGGUUUUGGAAAGAGUGGCCCCUGUAGGCAUUUUGAAAUCAAUGCUCUGCACUGCUAAAACUCAGCUCAUUUCAGCUCUUGCUUCUUAACCUUUAGCAGACGUGUUUGAAAAUCAUCUUCUCAGAGCUUAUUUUGCCAAAUAACAAACCCAUUGCAGUGGACCUACAGACAAUAUGAAUCACUGAGUCUCCUAUAUAAAGCCUGGCAUCACAUCUGCUGCUCAGCUAAUGACAGAAGAAAGAUCUCUGCUGUUCUGACCUCCAAAUUUGUGGGAUCCUCGUCUCUGCAGUGGAGCUGGGACCAUGUGUUGCCUCCCACCUCUGUUCUCACUGCUUCAAGGAAGUAGCAGACUAACACAUGAGUGAGUUCUGUGCGAGGCUCUCAGCAGUUGCCUGAAUUACUCAUCCCUAAAGCCAAAUUUGCUCUGAAACGUGAUAUAAAAGUGGCACCUGUCUCAAUAAGCUGUGUGCUUCUCAUGUGUAUCCACCCUUGUGCAAUGUUCAGCCUCAGAGAGGUUGGAACUUUGGAUGUGGGAAAAGUGAAGCACAGAUAUUGUAUUUUCCUGCUUGGAUAUGAAGCUUUUAGUACAGUUUCUGAUAUUUAUGGAAGUUAAUCACGUAGGUAUAAUGUUUUCUAAAUUGUGGCAGUUGCUAGUAAACUAAUCAAGAUGAAAUCAUAAUUGUGCUGGGUUUUGCACAAACACAGAGGAAGAUGGAGUCUGCUUUCAACAAUGUGCAUUCUGACUGUAAGUCAUAAUCCUUCAGAAUCAUGAUCGGUGUUCUGCUUCAUCACAUUAAUAUAAUCAGCAGAGUAGCUGUGUGUGGCUGCCCAGACCUGCCUGUGAAAUUCCAGAAUGCGAGGGUGUCACUGAGGGCUUGCUUUGAUGGCCUGAAGAUUCAGAGGAGAUGAGCUGCAGUGGAGGUUACAGAGUCCCACUGUUUCAGUCUUUCUAUUCUGGGAAAAAUCAUUGGAGAGCUUUGAAUAUCAUCGUGCCUUCUGUCUUAAUGAAUCCCCUUUAAAACUUGCUUUUCAGACUUUGGAUGUUUACUGUUAACACCAUAAAACUAGAUAACCUACAGAGGCGUUUUGGUAAUGAAAAAUACAAAUAUAGAUUAAUAGCUUCUUUUUUUUUUUUUCCAAUUGGUAGUCAGGCUCCCUUGCAAGUCUUCAGUAUUCACCCAUCUAAGACUGAUUUUUCAUUUUCUCCCCAGGUCACUUAGCUCUUUAUUUCUGAGAUUUGAUUUCAUUAUCUGCAUAACAUGCAGACAUGGGAAAUGAUUGUGGAUGGAACACACGGUGCUAAAAUUCCACCUCACAAUUCACAGUCACUUCAAUAUUUCUUAUUCUGAUGGAAUUACCUCUUUUAAAGUUAUCUUUUCAACUCUCCUGAGAAUUGGGAAAGUAUUUUGAAGAUCUAAUUAUAUGUCUUACUAAAAACUGCCAAUAAGAACAUCAGGCUGAGUCAGACUGAGCAAAUUCUUGGAAGCAGACACACCUCACCAGCCCAUGGCUUAGUGCUGCCAUUCCUCACUAGAUUUUUGUGGAAUCACAGGGUGGUUUGGAUUGGAAAGGACCCUAAUACUCAUCCCUAUCCAACACUCUGCCAUGGCAGGGACAUCUCCCACUGUCCCAUAUUGCUCCAAGCCCUGUCCAGCCUGGCCUGGGACACUUCCAGGGAUCCAGGGGCAGCCACAGCUGCUCUGGGCACCCUGUGCCAGGGCCUGUCCACCCUCACAGGGAACAAUUCCUUCCUAAAAUCUAACCCAGGCUCCUCAGUACAAUUUAAACAAGGAGCUACUGGAGAAGGUCCAGCAGAGGCCACAAGGAUGAUGAAGGGUCUGGAGCAUCCCCCACAUCAGGAGAUACUGUAGGAAUUGGGCUUGUUUAGUCUGGAAAAGAGAAGAGGGAUCUCAUCAGUCCAUACAAAUAUUUCCAAGGCAGGGAUCACAGGAUGGUGCCAGACUCCUUGCAGUGGUGCCCAGUGACAGGACAAGGACUAAUGGCCAUAAACCAAAACACAAGAAGCUUCACCUCAAUGUGACAAAGAACUUAUUUAUGUUGAGGGUGGCAGAGCACUGGAACGGCUGCCCAGGCAGGGUCUGGAUCUGAUAAGAUUUCUUUUUCACCACCAAUUCUCAGUUUAUACUGGAAAUUAUGCUUUUAUACAGCUGUUAAGGGGUAUUCAUCCAGCUCCUACAGACUGAGGUUUGUGUUAUUACUAAAGCUGCUUAGAAAUAUUGCAUGAAAUAAAUUCUUCACAGAAAAUGAUCAUUUUCUUAAAAACUUGAAAACUUUCAGAAAUUAUCCAGAAAUUUAAUUUUUUUAAAAUUAAAAAAAAUUAUAUAUUAAAAAAAAAGCCUGAGAGUGUUGAAAAGUCUAGUGUGGAUUUUUUCCAGUAGUUUCUAGUAUUCAUUUUGCAAAUUAUUAUUAUUAUUAUUAUUAUUAUUAUUAUUAUUAUUAUUAUUAUUAUUAUUAUUAUUAUGUUUUAGCUUAUAAUUAUUAUUGAUUAACCAAUUUAUUAAUUUAUCAAUUCAUUUGUAGUUUAGCAUCACAAAUAAAAAUAUUUACAUAUGAAUAAUUAUGAAAAAUUAAACCCUCAUUUUUACAAUGGCCAGGGAGAUUUUUCUUUGUUUAAAAGAAUUUUGCUAUGUUUUACAUUUUCAUAUUUUAUCUGAAAGUAGAAAAAAAGAAAAAAUUUUAAAAUACUGUAUUUUUCUUAGUGUGGGAUUCUGCUUUUCCUUGCAGUUUUGGGCAACAAAACUUCAUUAAAACAUAUAUAUUAAUAGGAACUGUGGAGUAGAAAGUCCUGAAAUAUCUGCAUUACUAGUUGCAUUUUGCUAAAUACUUUUGAACAUUUAGUUCUGACAUCCUGGGCUUUCACUUUAAUGGAAUGAAUGCCUAAUAGAAAUUAAUCUUACUGUUAGAAAUCUAAGUUUGGGUGUGCAAAAUGCAAACAUAUUUGGGUGUAUCAAAAUGGAUUUUUUGCCACCUGAUUAUAGUUUUGUGGCCUUUAUGUGUUGUUGGGUAGAGUCCAGCUCA
Non-coding RNA from Taeniopygia guttata (zebra finch), 4082 nucleotides. NCBI's taxonomy places the organism in Eukaryota, Metazoa, Chordata, Aves, Passeriformes, Estrildidae. The record is from RefSeq and is a predicted model, not a curated record.